AUCUGCCUUUUGGUUUGGAAUAACACGGGGAAACUUGUGCUAAUACCGGAUAAGCCUUUACAGGGAAAGUUUUAACGCCAAAAGAUGAGCCCAUACUUGAUUAGCUAGUUGGUAAGGUAAUGGCUUACCAAGGCUACGAUCAAUAGCUGAUCUGAGAGGAUGAUCGGCCACAUUGGGACUGAGACACGGCCCAAACUCCUACGGGAGGCAGCAGUGGGGAAUCUUGCACAAUGGGGGAAACCUUGAUGCAGCGAUGCCGCGUGAGUGAAGAAGGCCUUUGGGUUGUAAAGCUCUUUCGUCGGGGAAGAAAAUGACUGUACCCGAAUAAGAAGGUCCGGCUAACUUCGUGCCAGCAGCCGCGGUAAUACGAAGGGACCUAGCGUAGUUCGGAAUUACUGGGCUUAAAGAGCUCGUAGGUGGUUAAGAAAGUUGGUGGUGAAAUCCCAAGGCUUAACCUUGGAACUGCCACCAAAACUUUUUGACUAGAGUAUGAUAGAGGUAAGUGGAAUUUCUAGUGUAGAGGUGAAAUUCGUAGAUAUUAGAAAGAACACCAAUUGCGAAGGCAACUUUCUGGAUCAUUACUGACACUGAGGAGCGAAAGCAUGGGUAGCGAAGAGGAUUAGAUACCCUCGUAGUCCAUGCCGUAAACGAUGUGUGCUAGACGUUGGAAAUUUAUUUUUCAGUGUCGCAGCAAAAGCAUUAAGCACACCGCCUGGGGAGUACGACCGCAAGGUUAAAACUCAAAUGAAUUGACGGGGACCCGCACAAGC
This 770-nucleotide ribosomal RNA is filed under the name uncultured Alphaproteobacteria bacterium. Its description in RNAcentral is "bacterial SSU rRNA". It matches the Rfam family "Bacterial small subunit ribosomal RNA", at positions 124 to 930 of the family's 1533-position model. Lineage: Bacteria; Pseudomonadati; Pseudomonadota; Alphaproteobacteria. The record is from RNAcentral.